Molecule: long non-coding RNA, 7971 nt
Organism: Myotis brandtii (Brandt's bat)
Lineage: Eukaryota; Metazoa; Chordata; Mammalia; Chiroptera; Vespertilionidae
Exons: 3
Source: RefSeq, a predicted model, not a curated record
GCCACCCUUCGGGGCCUGCAAGGACCCAGUUGGAGGGACAGGAAGGGGCUGGGGGAUGGUUGGUGGUGGGCUUUCUACUUUGCCUUUUCCUCCUUAUGCCGCCUUAGUGAGAGGCGGGAGCCCUGGCGGCAGCUCCGGGCCGGGAAACGGGCUCCGGAGUCGGAAGAGCUGGGUUUGCUUCCGGGCCUAGCCACCAGCUGGCCGAGUGACCUUAGGCAAGUCCCUCUGUAAUCUGCGCCUCAGUUUCCUCCUCUGUCGAUGUUUGUGGGAUUAAAAGCGCUUUGUAAACCACAAAGCGUCAGUGUACAUAAGGGAUCAUUAUUAUUUGUAAAAUUUUCUGAUUUGUAAGAAAACAGCCAUUGCCCAAUCCAUCGAUUUUUUGAACCUAGGAACCUUGGAUUGGAGUUGGAAAUCCCCAAACUCCCUGAAAUUGUAUGCAGAAAUUAGUGGGAAUGAGCAUUUUAGGGGGAUGAGGAUCCAUCGCCAACAAGGUUUCAAAGGGAGAUGUCACCCCCAAAGAGUUAACCACAAUCUCUCUAUGCCACAGGGAGGAAACUGAGGCCUAGAUGUCAUUUGAGAUCCUUCACAACCAAUUUGAAGCCCCUGUUUGAAUCCCUGGGAUAUGUGAGCUUUUCUGUGCAUAAUGGAUAUUGGGGUAACAACACUCCACUGCUUGGCUUUUUUCCUGAGUCCUUUCCUUUCCCCAUGGGGGGUGCCCGAAGGGUGGCUAAUGCAUAUGGUACAGUGGCAUCCAGUAUAAAGCAGCUGAAACUAGGAGUGGAUGUGUUCUCUGGUAUCAAGAAGCCUAUUUAAUCUUUGGCCCAUUAACUUUGUUGCUGCUUAUACUGGUGCCUGACUACCUUUCUGACUCUUUCAUUGACCAUUUUUCACGACCAUGUCUGCCAUCUGUUACUUGCUCCUAUUUUAUACCCCUAGUCUAUGUGGUUGGUAGUGAGCAGGCUUAUUUUUAAAUGGUGCUGCCAAGUCUAGCUAAUUAAUGGUGCAGGUGGAUUUUUCGGAAGCUGGCUAACGAACAGACUGAUCCAGGCAUGGAAUUCCUGAAGAUGUUGGGGGGUUAUCUUUAUUAAUUGAAGGUUAACAUUUUCUGAAAAAUUGCGUUUGAACCUGUGCUGAACCUCAGAAUCAGUAGAUUUGGAAGUUUUCCCAAGCUUAACUUUUUCCUGGACUGCUCUGUAUUCUAUUUGCUUGCAAGUGUGUUGCUAAGGUGGCCAAAAAUGCCAGUUUUUUGCUUCCUUGUUAAUUGUCAGCUGCUUUUACCCAGCAAACACUAUAGAAAUGUUUGAACAGUUGGAUUUCAAACAUUUUUGUUUUGUGGAGUGGUGCAACUCUAAGCAAACGAACACACACGAUUAAGUGUAUUUUGUCUGGUUAGGUGUUACCCGGUUCUGCUAUUGCAUACAAAUGUCUGGGAAAAAAAUCAGUUGACUGUUGCCUUUACCUAAAGGGCAGAGACAGAUGAUCUUACUUCCAGAGAAAUAACUUAUUUGGGGGGAAAUGUGUUGGUCUUUUGUAAUAAAACCUGGAUGUACUGCAAACGAAUCUUGAUUGUGGUGAGAAGAUGCUUUUCUCAGCAGAAAAGAGGGACACAAACAUCUGGAACUCAAAGCUUGAAAUUCUGUGACAAAACACGAGAUGUCCAGGAUAGAGGGUUGAAAGGGUUUCACUACAGUGUUUCGCACUAGCUGGAGCCGAUGCCCGUUAGUAGCCACGGCAUGGACUCCAGAUUUGCAAGACCUGGGACCUGGAUGCGUUUAUGAGGAUGUGACAGGAACUCUGGAGCUGGAUAUGUUUACUUUGGGGACUAUUGACCUCGCUUUCAGAAGAGAGACGACAACUAACCAAGCAAUGCCACUAGCGCUGUUACUGGGAAUUUGAAGACCUGAGUUUCUGCCAGACCUCAGUGCAAACUCUGAUGACACUGCAUCCAAAGUGAACUACGAUAGCAAGCCCCUUGGAAAAAAAGGGUCUUCGAAUCUUUGCCCACACAUACUACCACAUGUGAUGAAGCUUUUAAUAGAAAAGAGGAAUUCAGAGAGCAGGCUGUCCCAGAAUGAGCAUUCACCUACAGAUUUGGUACCUGGAUUUCUGUCCAUGGUGAUUUCUAUCACCUUACUACUGAAGAAGAUACCAUCCCAGUAGACCACUAUGACCCAAGGGACAUUCAACCAUCAUGAUGUGGUCUUCACCUCCAUUCCUGUCCUUCUCUACCCAGAUUGAGCACCAUCCUUUAUGUGAAGUCAAACUCCUCAAGCCAAAUAGCUGGAACUGUUUCAUCACAACAGAGGCUCAGUUUGUUCCAUGAGUGUGUAUUUUGUUUCUUCAGUUAAAGCCUUCAGAGACACAUAAUAAAUUUGGACCCAGGGGAUUCUUAGUUCUCAACAUUGUCUGGAGAAUGGUAACAUCUUGAGAACAACAUUGGACCACAACCCACAAUCUCAAAUGUUUAUGAAGUUUUGAGGAUCCCAUGCAGGUCACUGGACGCUAUUCUUUUUCCACGUCAAAUCUGUAGUAUCCUACUGAAUGAGAAAGCAGAUAUUCUGACCCAUUGGGAUUAAAACAAAGGCCUAGUGAAGUCCUCAUAGCAUCUUUGGGAUUAUUCAGGAACCAGAACUUUUCACACAAAUGUAAGGAAUUUUACAAAGGAAUCCUUUACCCAGCAUCUCACAAAGCUUCAAUCAGAUUCCAGAAAAGGCCACUUGAGACAUCCAGGUAGAACCUAUAUGGUAAUCCCUUAUGUUUUUAUCGCACUUUACAGUCUCAAAGCACUUUUACAUGUGUUAAUAUCAGAAUCACACACUAGACUAUAAUCCUGUUUUGUAAAUGAGGAAAUGGGAUUUGAAAGAUUAUCCAAAAGUAUCAAGUGGUAGAGGCCAAACCUUCUGACUCCUGGUCCAGUUCUUUCCUUGGAAUUAAUUUAGCCUCAACCCACAGUGUUAAAAUGACUGCAGGUUGGGAACCCCAGAAAAGUGUUCUAGCUUCCUGAUCUGGUGACAUCAACAGGAUGUCAUAAAUGUAAUACUGUAAUAGCUGUCCUAGACCAGAAUUCCAUGGAAACACCCCUAAGGUUAAGGAGCAAACUCUCUGUGGUGGUAGAUUGUCCAGUCAACAAGACACACGUUCAUCUGACAACACUACUCAACAUGAAACAAAGCUACUGUUAGAUUUUUUGACUGUCUUUGUAGUCUUCACAAAGAUGGCCUAAUUGAUUGGGGAAUCCCUGUGCAAAUCAUGCCUUUAUUUUGUUAAGUCUUAAGAUCUUAUCGAUGAUUCUUUUAUCCCCUAACUAAUAUUUGUACCAUCCAUUUCAAUCAGUACUGUUCAUGUAUGUGUAAUUGCAUACACAACAUAUAUGUCAUACAUACAGAGCUUCGUAGCCCAGUAAGGUGGUAAAAAUACUAUAAAAUGUGUCCCCUCUCUAAUUGAUAAUGCAGUGUAGUGUAUUAAAGGAUAUCAUAAGGCAGCAAAAAAAACACACACACACAACUAUCAUUUAGCUGUUUAGUCUGGUAUGUUCUAAGUUUAAUCAAACGCAGAAUGUCAUCUUGCAGCAUUCCUUUCAAUGGAAUGAGGCAACUGCUUAAGAGUGGCAUAGCCAGUGCUUCUUGAAUGCCAACAGAUUGCCCUGGAGACCCAGGAAUAAACUGCAUCUUUGACACACACAUCCCUUUUUUCUUAUCAAUAACAGCUUUGAAUUAGUAUGUUUCCAUCAUUUGAGAAUUCUUUAUCUUGACCAUUACCUUGAUUUUUCUGUCAAAGAAACCUCUAGAUUUGUGGGAAUACUGGGGAGGGGGUUGGGGGAAAGUUAAUUCAUCCAAAUUUGGAUGGAUUCUAUGACAUACAGUGAUGUAUUUCUCUGUCCCUAGAAUUGUGCUAUAAACCUAGUUCAAGGUCAUUGCAUCUCAGAUGGGUGAGAAGAUUGGGAAGGGAAAAGAGGAAGUGGGUGGAAAAAAUGGAGAGGAGGGAUGAGGAGAUAUUUUCUUAGAAUUUCUGAGUUGUGGCCCACUGAGAUCUUAUCAGUGCUUGAAGUCACCUAGCAUGGACUUCUUGGAAUAAUAUUUACAAAGAAAUGAAUGCAUUUUGCAGCUGUAUUCUGACUGCAAAAACCCCAGUGCUGUUGUCAUUUAAGACCUUGUUCUCUGAUAGUCAUAAGCCCAAUUUCAGGAAAUGAGAAUUUAUAACAGACUUGAAUGUUAAAUUUCAUAAUUCUAUAAUGUGGCCCACCUUAGGGGAAGAAUGAAUAGGAAAACACCUUGGCUUACCAAAGACUUUGCUUACACAGUUUCUGGUUUCUGUGACCUAUUUUUUGUAUUUCAGCAUUUUGUGAACAACUUAUUCUUAGAUCAUUGGUUUUCCAAAGGCUUUGUGGCCAUGAAGCCCUUUGGACGAAAACUGUGUGGAAGCCCAAAGUAAAAGUGAAGUUGCUCUGGACGAAGCAGAGUGGGGGUCCUGAAAUCUGCCACAAGCAUCUUCCUUUAUCGCCAUGGUGACACCUAAGGAGAGACUUCUUUACAGCACCUAGAAUUCUUCAGAGCACAUUUUGAAAAAACAGUGCUCUAGACAACAAUAUGUUCGACCUGAAUGAUAUUCUGUUCUGUACCUCUACCCAACACAGUCCAUGUUCAGUUAGUGCUGAACAUUCUUAGGAAUACUUACUAUGGACAAACUCAGAAAAGUGCAAGAACUUUGCCCCUAAGUAGUUAUAUGGGCCAAAAGUGUAUCAAAUGAACCUAAAUUAAUCAUGCUCUACCCCCAUAUGGACUUACAGUAAUUCCUGGGUUUGGAUAUAGACAAUAAACCAUAUGUACUCUACACUGACAAACCCCCUUACCCAACUUCUUUCACGAACACCAGAUGCUCUAGUGGUACUUGAAAUACGUGAAUCUGAAGUCUUGAUCCUCCUUGGAUACCUGAAUUGCCAGGUAUUGAAACUGAUGCCUCAUUGAGGCCAUAGUAGACCAACUUGUUCAUCGGACCUCUCAUCAUCAACCAUGGUACUCUACUUCAUGUGCAAGGGAUAACCAUUAACUAUGAAAGCAGAAUUCAAAUUCUGGCAACGUUAACUAAAAGGGUACCUGGUUUUAUCAUUCAUCUUAUUCUCAAACUACAAGUCACUAUGACUCAAUCAGUUGCAGUAAUACUACUGCUUGGUUUUUAUUUACUUUUAACUGCUGUUUCCAGGAUAAAUGAGCUAAUAACAUUUAAUAAGCUAAAAUAAUUCCUCCACCAUCGGCAUAUCUGCUCGGCAUAUUCUGCUCUAAAAUUACAAAUACUCUGCUCUAACUACAUGUAAGACCUGAUCCACAGGAGACCAUCUUUGAAUAUCUUUUCUGAUGUGAUUUAAAAUGUGGCCAUUUGGGAAGUUUUCUUCUAGCCAGUGAGAGUUUUUCCUUUAAGAUGGGUCUUGAUGUCUAGUACCAUCAACUGUAAAUAUUAGGGAUAUUUUGAGGUAGGCACUUGCUGAGAAUCUCAAAUUGUGUAUAAUCUCUUUUGCUGGAAAUGUAGACUGACUUGAAAAAAAAUCUACAAAUCCUUCAGCUAAGGAUUUUGUCAGUAGACUCAAGCUUCCUGUUGUGCUUCCUAAUGUCACAAGACCACAGUCCCUUGUCCUUGUGGAUAUGUUCAUGGAAUUUUACCGGUCUCAGUACUGUUUUAACACUGAUUCAGAGUGGCCAACUUCAUUCCUCAGGCAUUGAGACAACUUACCUGUUUCUGCAGGAAGGAUUCAGUUUGUGAACUUCCAGACCAAAUCAUGUUAAACAAGUAGACUUUGAAAUCUUAUUUACUUCACAGUUGACUUAAGGGCCAGAUGUCCUCAACUACUUUAACGAAUGCACUGGUUAAAUGUUGGGAAUGGUUUCUUUAUAUGUCUCUUAUCCACUAGAUUAAUUAUGAGAACAUGACUUAGUCUUCAAAUCAUCAAUCUAGGCCUAAGCCUGGUUACUCUAGACUGCUUACCGUCAACAAAUAAAGAUAAAAUAAUGACCAUCCUGCUUGUAUAUACAACUAUUAUUUGUAAAGAAGAAAUCUGCAAACUCAACUUUUUUUACUACCUUCCAAAUAGCUAGAUUUUUCUUCUGUACAGGAAAAGACAUUGAUCUACACUGCCAGUUAUUCCCAUUAUUCCUGUCAGACUCAGUCAAAAUGAGGGGCUUAAGGUGAGGAUGAUCGUCUUUCAAGAGUCUAAUGAACACUGUGUAUAAGAAUUGAUGUUUGAAAAAGCAAAAAAACCUAAAAUUCAAACCUAAGCUCUUACCUACUAUCUCCAUGCCUCAGAUCUCAUCUAAGUCCAGCAGCACCAUUCAACCAGUUUGAGGCCUUGACUUGUGUUUGAUUCCCAGAGAUGUGCUGAAUUAUAGAAGAUGGAGAUUUUGAUUACCAAAGAAAGUAGUGCCAAUCUUGAUGAACCCUAUUAUUCCCAGGUGUAGGAACAGACACCUAAACAACCUCACGUCUGGACUGAGAAUAUAGCCUUCUGAGCUGAAAAUUCUUAUUGGGCAAAUGAGCAGGAAGGUGAAAGCUGCUGUACCCGACUGGCUAUUUAAGAUCUGAAAAGUGUAUCCAGAAUAAACACUAUGGAUUAAGCCUGGAGUAAUCCAGGUAAAAACUAAUUUACAGAACUUCAAUAUUAAACUACAUGUUCUUCCUUAGACCCUUGUCAUUGGUAUAGCUGGCCCUGCUGAAGGUACCCUACUUACCUAUUUAUCUGACUCAGCCCUUGCCUGCCUUUUUUGACACGUUGCUGCAAUCAAACUUGCUGUCCUGGAACAGACUACAACUGAUCUCAGCCUAUCUUAUACCUAAUUCCACCAAGGAGUUUUGAACUGAAGCAGCCUGCACCUCACUCCCUGUUCUCCACAGGAAGGACCGUGCUGUAUACUUUUUGACCAGCAUCAGUCCUUUUUUUUUAAGUGCAGAGUAAGCCUCAGCCUAUAUAUAUUUGAUCAUUUUCAGCACCUGGAGAUCCUCCUACCAGAUCUGAAGGAGUGUAGCAGAUAAAAAGCACUGUCAGUUUCUCUCCUGCAGUAAUACAGAAGUUGAGUCUGAAUCAACAGCACAGAAAUGAGAAAUGUUCAACUUGGCGAAAGACUUGAACACAAAAGAUUUCCAGGAAUUUCAAAUUUACCACUGACUUGAAUAGCCUCACAGAACUACUUUCCAUUGGGAGACUAGUCGUCUUGCAUUAUGUCAACUAGAUAAUUGAGCUCUCGGACUCUUAAUACUUAUAUUGAAACUAUGGUAUCAUCCAGAGUAUGUUACUGGACAUGAUUAUUCCAUACAAAUGGACUAUAAGCUUCCUGACGACAGGACAUACUCAUGAUGUGUGUGUUUUUCAGAAUACUUUUAUCAAGAAAGAAUAAUGCCAGCUGUUACAAUUCAACUUUAUGAGCAGAGAUUAAGCUUUUUCAAUAUCCAAUGUUAUCAUUGUUAUCAGUUAUUUUUAAUUGGCCAGCAUUUAUUCCAUCUCUUCCUAACAACUUCCUGAUGUUUCUUGGAACCAUAUCUCCUUAUUUUCAGUCCACAUAGUCCAGACAGUCUGACCUAACCUUAGGGUUCAUGUGUGGACGUGAAGUUCAGACCUGAUCAAUCGGCAUAGUUCAUCUCCUUGAUCAUAGUGAUUGAUUCGAUUCAGGAAUGGUCAUGUGAUUCAAGUUGAUCCAGUGAUAUUCAACCCUAGGAGUUUACUGAACAGUGGAAGAGGAAAUGCUCAGAAACUCUGUAUUUACUGAGGUUGCUUACCUUUGUAGGAUGAACAAGCUCAAACCAGCAGGGUCCACCAUAUAAAAUGAGCCAGUCAGAGAAUGAAGCCAGUGCAGAGGAAAGCGGAGCCAAAUGAUGGAGAGACUUUAGUCCUGAUGACAAUGUGCUCCUAGAUCCAUCCGUGCCUGAAGCGAGUAUAUCCUCUGGAUUUUUCAGUUUUGUGAACCAAUAAAUACCCUUUUGUUUAAGUUA